RNAcentral lists this ribosomal RNA (1042 nucleotides) under Cordyceps sp. RNAcentral describes it as "SSU rRNA". It matches the Rfam family "Eukaryotic small subunit ribosomal RNA", at positions 69 to 1123 of the family's 1831-position model. Lineage: Eukaryota; Fungi; Ascomycota; Sordariomycetes; Hypocreales; Cordycipitaceae. The record is from RNAcentral.
GCAAUUAUACAGCGAAACUGCGAAUGGCUCAUUAUAUAAGUUAUCGUUUAUUUGAUAGUACCUUACUACUUGGAUAACCGUGGUAAUUCUAGAGCUAAUACAUGCUAAAAAUCCCGACUUCGGAAGGGAUGUAUUUAUUAGAUUAAAAACCAAUGCCCUCUGGGCUCCUUGGUGAUUCAUGAUAACUCUUCGAAUCGCACGGCCUUGCGCCGGCGAUGGUUCAUUCAAAUUUCUUCCCUAUCAACUUUCGAUGUUUGGGUAUUGGCCAAACAUGGUUGCAACGGGUAACGGAGGGUUAGGGCUCGACCCCGGAGAAGGAGCCUGAGAAACGGCUACUACAUCCAAGGAAGGCAGCAGGCGCGCAAAUUACCCAAUCCCGAUUCGGGGAGGUAGUGACAAUAAAUACUGAUACAGGGCUCUUUUGGGUCUUGUAAUUGGAAUGAGUACAAUUUAAAUCCCUUAACGAGGAACAAUUGGAGGGCAAGUCUGGUGCCAGCAGCCGCGGUAAUUCCAGCUCCAAUAGCGUAUAUUAAAGUUGUUGUGGUUAAAAAGCUCGUAGUUGAACCUUGGGCCUGGCUGGCCGGUCCGCCUCACCGCGUGCACUGGUCCGGCCGGGCCUUUCCCUCUGUGGAACCCCAUGCCCUUCACUGGGCGUGGCGGGGAAACAGGACUUUUACUUUGAAAAAAUUAGAGUGCUCCAGGCAGGCCUAUGCUCGAAUACAUUAGCAUGGAAUAAUGAAAUAGGACGCGUGGUUCUAUUUUGUUGGUUUCUAGGACCGCCGUAAUGAUUAAUAGGGACAGUCGGGGGCAUCAGUAUUCAAUGGUCAGAGGUGAAAUUCUUGGAUUCAUUGAAGACUAACUACUGCGAAAGCAUUUGCCAAGGAUGUUUUCAUUAAUCAGGAACGAAAGUUAGGGGAUCGAAGACGAUCAGAUACCGUCGUAGUCUUAACCAUAAACUAUGCCGACUAGGGAUCGGACGAUGUUAUUUUUUGACGCGUUCGGCACCUUACGAGAAAUCAAAGUGCUUGGGCUCCAGGGGGAG